UUCUUAUCAAGAGAGAUGGAGGGACUGGCCCGAUGAAAUCUCAGCAACAGGCUAUAUCAAAGUACUGUGCUAACUCCAGCGAACGCAAUAGGCGUUUGAAAGAUGAGGA
Molecule: non-coding RNA, 109 nt
Filed under: Bacillus thuringiensis
Lineage: Bacteria; Bacillati; Bacillota; Bacilli; Caryophanales; Bacillaceae
Also listed under: 1 other name
Description: SAM-I sequence
Rfam family: SAM riboswitch aptamer (S box leader)
About the family: The SAM riboswitch is found upstream of a number of genes which code for proteins involved in methionine or cysteine biosynthesis in Gram-positive bacteria.
Source: RNAcentral